Molecule: ribosomal RNA, 301 nt
Filed under: uncultured bacterium
Lineage: Bacteria
Description: partial 16S ribosomal RNA
Rfam family: Bacterial small subunit ribosomal RNA
Source: RNAcentral
CAGCAGCCGCGGUAAUACGAGGGGGGCAAGCGUUGUUCGGAAUUAUUGGGCGUAAAGGGUGCGUAGGCGGCUUGACAAGUCUUGUGUGAAAUCUAUGGGCUCAACCCAUAGUCUGCACGGGAAACUGUCGGGCUUGAGAAUGGGAGAGGUGAGUGGAAUUUCCGGUGUAGCGGUGAAAUGCGUAGAUAUCGGAAGGAACACCUGUGGCGAAAGCGGCUCACUGGACCAUUUCUGACGCUGAUGCACGAAAGCUAGGGGAGCAAAAAGGAUUAGAUACCCCAGUAGUCCCUGUCUCUUAUAC